RNAcentral lists this ribosomal RNA (539 nucleotides) under uncultured bacterium. Its description in RNAcentral is "bacterial SSU rRNA". It matches the Rfam family "Bacterial small subunit ribosomal RNA", at positions 772 to 1304 of the family's 1533-position model. The record is from RNAcentral.
ACGUAAUAGAUACCCAGGUAGUCCACGCCCUAAACGAUGUCUACUAGUUGUUGGUGGAGUAAAAUCCAUGAGUAAACGCAGCUAAACGCGUGAAGUAGACCGCCUGGGGAGUACGGUCGCAAGAUUAAAAACUCAAAGGAAUUGACGGGGGCCCGCACAAGCGGUGGAUUAUGUGGAUUAAAUUCGAUGCAACGCGAAAAACCUUACCUGGCCUUGACAUGCCACUAACGAAGCAGAGAUGCAUUAGGUGCCCGUAAAGGGAAAGUGGACACAGGUGCUGCAUGGCUGUCGUCAGCUCGUGUCGUGAGAUGUUGGGUUAAGUCCCGCAACGAGCGCAACCCUUGCCAUUAAUUGCCAUCAUUUAGUUGGGCACUUUAAUGGGACUGCCGGUGACAAACCGGAGGAAGGUGGGGAUGACGUCAAGUCCUCAUGGCCCUUAUGGCCAGGGCUUCACACGUAAUACAAUGGUCGGUACAGAGAGUUGCCAACCCGCGAGGGGAGGCUAAUCUCAGAAAGCCGAUCGUAGUCCGGAUUGUUCU